AGCGACUGAACUGAACUGAACUGAUGAUAAGUUAUACUAGGAUUUGCUACUGCUUAUAGGGUGGGUGCUCAUAAAACCCAUGCUAUUCAAGGGUCAACUGAUGUCAUGUACUCUCUACACAUCUCUCAGCAAUGGACAGCUCAUAUCUACACAACUACUCAUCUGUUCAACUAGGAUAAAAUGCUGACGCUGGAAUUUUAACACACCAGAAACAGGCUUCAUCGAACUUCUGAUAAAAUUACUCUGGUUUUCUGUUAAAUGCCAAGCUGAUUUAAAAGUUGCCACAUGAUGACUUGCAGCUAAAGAAAUCCAUGAUUUAGAACUUGGAUGCUUGCCAGAAGGAAUUCCAGGUUGAACCGAUCAGGCUCCCAUCUGGUCACUAAGAAGAUGUUUAAGGCCACUUUCAACACUAUGCUGGUUGCCGCAGAAUAUUGAGUAUAGUUGAUUUACAAUGUUGUACUAGCUUCAGGUAUACAGCAAAGUGAUUCAUAUAUUCAUUGAUUUCAGAUUUUUUUUUCCCAUUUAGGUUGCCGCAGAAUAUUGAGUAGAGAUCCAUGUGCUAUCCAGUAAGUCUUGCUGAUUGUCUAUUUUAUAUAUUAGUGUAUAUACAUUAAACCCAAACUCCUAACACUGUAAAUCAACUGUACUCCAAUAUACAACAAAAAUUAAAGAAAAUAAUAAUUU
RNAcentral lists this long non-coding RNA (684 nucleotides) under Capra hircus (goat). RNAcentral describes it as "lncRNA (ENSCHIG00000007824.1)". The record is from RNAcentral. Lineage: Eukaryota; Metazoa; Chordata; Mammalia; Artiodactyla; Bovidae.